UAGGUCUCAGUUCGGACUGUAGGCUGCAACUCGCCUACACGAAGUUGGAAUUGCUAGUAAUCGUGGAUCAGCAUGCCACGGUGAAUACGUUCCCGGGUCUUGUACACACCGCCCGUCACACCAUGGGAGCCGGGAAUGCCCGAAGUCAGCGGCCCAACCGAAAGGGGGGAGCUGCCGAAGGCAGGCCUGGUGACUGGGGUGAAGUCGUAACAAGGUAGC
Molecule: ribosomal RNA, 219 nt
Filed under: uncultured bacterium
Lineage: Bacteria
Description: partial 16S ribosomal RNA
Rfam family: Bacterial small subunit ribosomal RNA
Source: RNAcentral